This 784-nucleotide non-coding RNA is filed under the name Mythimna separata (northern armyworm). Lineage: Eukaryota; Metazoa; Arthropoda; Insecta; Lepidoptera; Noctuidae. The record is from RNAcentral.
AAAUAAAUUUUUUAUGGUUUUAAAAAUUUAUUUUAAAUUUAUUUUACAUAUAAAUUUUAGUGUUAAAUUUAAAUUAUUUUAAUAAUAAUUUAAUUAAUUUAAUAGUAAUUAAUAUUAAAUUAUUUAAGAAAUUAAGAUUUAGUAAUAUUUUAAUUAAUAACAAAUUUUGUGCCAGCAGUUGCGGUUAUACAAAAAUUAAAUUAAAUUUUAUUAGUAAUUAAUAAAUAGUUGAUAAUUUAUAAUAAAAAUUUUAAAUUAUUAAGUGAAAUUUUAAUUUAAUGAAAUUUUAUAAUUUAAUUAUGAUUUAAUAAAUUUUAUAAAAAACUAGGAUUAGAUACCCUAUUAUUAAAAUUUAAAAUUAAAAUACUAAAAUAGUAAAUAAUUAUUUAUUGAAACUUAAAUAAUUUGGCGGUAUUUUAGUUCAUUUAGAGGAAUCUGUUUAAUAAUUGAUAAUCCACGAAUAAAUUUGCUUAAUUUAUAAUUUUGUAUAUCGUUGUUAAAAAAAUAUUUUUUAAUAAAAUUAAUAUUUAAUAAUUAUUAUAAAAAUUUAAAUCAGAUCAAAGAUGCAGAUUAUAAUUAAGAAUAUAAUGGAUUACAAUAAAUUUAUUUAUAUGGAUAUUAAUUUGUAAUAAUUAAUUGAAAGUGGAUUUAAAUGUAAUUUUAUUUAAUUUAAUAAAAUGAUUAUAUAUUAAAAUAUGUACAUAUUGCCCGUCGCUUUCAUAUAAUAAUAAGUUGAAAUAAGUCGUAACAAAGUAGAGGUACUGGAAAGUGUUUCUAGAAAGAA